This 437-nucleotide ribosomal RNA is filed under the name uncultured Oscillospiraceae bacterium. Its description in RNAcentral is "partial 16S ribosomal RNA". It matches the Rfam family "Bacterial small subunit ribosomal RNA", at positions 341 to 792 of the family's 1533-position model. The record is from RNAcentral. Lineage: Bacteria; Bacillati; Bacillota; Clostridia; Eubacteriales; Oscillospiraceae.
ACGGAAGGCAGCAGUGGGGAAUAUUGGGCAAUGGGCGAAAGCCUGACCCAGCAACGCCGCGUGAAGGAAGAAGGUCUUCGGAUUGUAAACUUCUUUUAUGAGGGACGAAGGACGUGACGGUACCUCAUGAUUAAGCCACGGCUAACUACGUGCCAGCAGCCGCGGUAAUACGUAGGUGGCGAGCGCUAUCCGGAUUUACUGGGUGUAAAGGGCGCGUAGGCGGGGAUGCAAGUCAGAUGUGAAAUCUAUGGGCUUAACUCAUAAACUGCAUUUGAAACUGUAUCUCUUGAGUGCUGGAGAGGUAGAUGGAAUUCCUUGUGUAGCGGUGAAAUGCGUAGAUAUAAGGAAGAACACCAGUGGCGAAGGCGAUCUACUGGACAGUAACUGACGCUGAGGCGCGAAAGCGUGGGGAGCAAACAGGAUUAGAUACCCUGGUA